GCCUCGGUAGCUCAGCCUGGUAGAGAAAAAUUGCCAUAAGCGAGCGCCUUGUAAGCGCUAGGUCGCGGGAUCAAGGCCCGCCCGAGGCU
Molecule: transfer RNA, 89 nt
Filed under: Nitrososphaerota archaeon
Lineage: Archaea; Thermoproteati; Nitrososphaerota
Description: Thaumarchaeota archaeon tRNA-Thr
Source: RNAcentral